RNAcentral lists this ribosomal RNA (319 nucleotides) under Cutaneotrichosporon dermatis. RNAcentral's name for it is "eukaryotic LSU rRNA". The stretch from base 1 to 124 matches the Rfam family "5.8S ribosomal RNA", at positions 31 to 154 of the family's 154-position model. Lineage: Eukaryota; Fungi; Basidiomycota; Tremellomycetes; Trichosporonales; Trichosporonaceae. The record is from RNAcentral.
CAUCGAAGAAGAACGCAGCGAAAUGCGAUAAGUAAUGUGAAUUGCAGAAUUCAGUGAAUCAUCGAAUCUCUGAACGCAACUUGCGCUCUCUGGUAUUCCGGAGAGCAUGCCUGUUUGAGUCUCAUGAAAUCUCGCCCAUUAGGGUUUCUUAAUGGCUUGGAUUUGGGCGCUGCCACUUGCCUGGCUCGCCUUAAAAGAGUUAGCGUAGUAACUUGUCGAUCUGGCGUAAUAAGUUUCGCUGGUGUAGAAGAGAGAAGUGUCCUUAUAAUAAUCUUCGGACGAGCAUACAAUAAGCGGAGGACGCCUUCCGUAAGAAACG